AUUGAACGCUGGCGGCAGGCUUAACACAUGCAAGUCGAGCGGAGAUGAGGUGCUUGCACCUUAUCUUAGCGGCGGACGGGUGAGUAAUGCUUAGGAAUCUACCUAUUAGUGGGGGACAACAUUCCGAAAGGAAUGCUAAUACCGCAUACGCCCUACGGGGGAAAGCAGGGGAUCUUCGGACCUUGCGCUAAUAGAUGAGCCUAAGUCGGAUUAGCUAGUUGGUGGGGUAAAGGCCUACCAAGGCGACGAUCUGUAGCGGGUCUGAGAGGAUGAUCCGCCACACUGGGACUGAGACACGGCCCAGACUCCUACGGGAGGCAGCAGUGGGGAAUAUUGGACAAUGGGCGGAAGCCUGAUCCAGCCAUGCCGCGUGUGUGAAGAAGGCCUUUUGGUUGUAAAGCACUUUAAGCGAGGAGGAGGCUACCUGGAUUAAUACUCUAGGAUAGUGGACGUUACUCGCAGAAUAAGCACCGGCUAACUCUGUGCCAGCAGCCGCAGUAA
RNAcentral lists this ribosomal RNA (501 nucleotides) under uncultured bacterium. RNAcentral describes it as "partial 16S ribosomal RNA". It matches the Rfam family "Bacterial small subunit ribosomal RNA", at positions 30 to 523 of the family's 1533-position model. The record is from RNAcentral.